Physella acuta is the source of this 627-nucleotide long non-coding RNA. RefSeq lists it as uncharacterized. The record is from RefSeq and is a predicted model, not a curated record. NCBI's taxonomy places the organism in Eukaryota, Metazoa, Mollusca, Gastropoda, Physidae.
UUCAUAGAAUUAAUUUUCAUGUUAGCAGACUUGAACUCACCACGACGUACUGUGAUUUAUGCCGAGAAAGCUAAUGACAAAGUCGAACAACCAGAAAAGGUCGCGUUUACAGUCGGGUUAUCAAAACAGUUGGAUGUUCUGUUGCAAGAUGUCGUUGUUUAUAACAAAGUUGUAUCUAAUGUUGGAGACGACUAAAACAACAGUACUGGUGUUUUCAGAUGCAAAAUAGCUGGGUUGUAUUUCUUCCAAAUCUACGGCGCUGCCAAUAAAGGGAAAGAGCUGAGUUUGUCUCUUGUUAAAAACAAAACGAAAGUUUUGUCACAAACCAAGAGUUGUCUCUCGCUGCCAACUCCGCAGUGUUGCUUUUGGAGGCUGGUGAUGAGUCUUUGUUGAAGCUUCCAACUGUGGCAGUCUGUAUGGAGAGGAGCAUCACGUGAUCAACACUUUCUCUGGUUUCCUGCUGGACAAAGCUAUUUGACAAUAUCGUAUCAUCUAAAUAAAAGAUCUUCUAAAACGUUAUGUAACAAGACUUUCUAAUGAAUUUAAAUUUUAUUGAACAGGCUAAUUAGUAUAGCUGUAAUCUGGACUGAGCACAUGUUGCUUUUUAAUUAAAUAAUUAUUUUAAAA